AUAGACAUAUUGCUGCGGUUAAAAAGCUCGUAGUUGGAUUUGUGCACGGGGACGCGGUCCACCUUCGGGUGCGCACUGCGCUCCCCGGCUUUUUCUGCCGGUCUUCUCGCCGUGGCUUUAACCGGCUGCGGUGGGUGGCUGGUGAUUUUACUUUGAACAAAUCAGAGUGCUCCAAACAGGCGUUUCGCUUGAAUGUUCGUGCAUGGAAUAAUAGAAGAGGAUUUCGGUUCUAUUUUAUUGGUUUUAUAGACUGAAAUAAUGGUUAACAGAGACAAACGGGGGCAUUUGUAUCGCUGCGUGAGAGGUGAAAUUCUUGGACCGCAGCGAGACAAACUACAG
Molecule: ribosomal RNA, 339 nt
Filed under: Ditylenchus sp. 1 JH-2003
Lineage: Eukaryota; Metazoa; Nematoda; Chromadorea; Rhabditida; Anguinidae
Description: SSU rRNA
Rfam family: Eukaryotic small subunit ribosomal RNA
Source: RNAcentral